Scylla paramamosain (green mud crab) is the source of this 2950-nucleotide RNA transcript. RefSeq lists it as uncharacterized. The record is from RefSeq and is a predicted model, not a curated record. The transcript has 7 exons. NCBI's taxonomy places the organism in Eukaryota, Metazoa, Arthropoda, Malacostraca, Decapoda, Portunidae.
GCCACGCUCCAUCCAGCCACUAGUCCGCGUGUGCUUGUGUUCGCCUUUCCGUGGAUGUCUUGUACCGUCCCGCCGAAACGAAAGGUCAUCAUCAGUCCUGUGCGUGGCGUGAGAAACAGUAGUGUCAUGUAAUGCAUGUUGUGGCAGUUUGUAGGUUGAGUGGGUUAAGCAAAAGCAUUGUGAAGGUGAAAUAUAUUUGGCCGAGAGGGAGUGACCGGUUACAGCUUGUGGACGGUGACUCCUUCAUUGACAUGGACACGAGACGAUGACCAAUGGUGUGGACACGAGUUGAGAGGCGCCACGCGGAACGCACAGAGGGGUGGGGCGUGGAUGUGGGCACUCGGUCUGGCGAGAAUCUGGAGCUUCUUGAAGGACGAGGUAAUGUCCAGCGGUGUUCUUUCCUGACACGAUCGUCCACUCAUCGCGGCGGUAACAACAACGCUGUCACUGGUGCCACGGGUGACUCAGGGCCUGGCAAGACUCGGCGUAAUAAGGCGUCCCGUCACUCCUGUACAGCAGAGGCCAGCAGAUCGUACCCUUACGCAGUCCAUGAUGUGACUCUCCAGCACCACCACUGCCUUCACGCCGGCGCCCCUUCUAUUCCUGGCCAGGACCACGCCGCCGCCUCUCGCCACGAUAGACAAAGGUCUCGCCUCGACGGAGUGACAGAGCAAGGAAGGGAGAGGGAAGGCAGAAGUGGACGUGGGUCGGAAGGGAAGAUCGCGUGUGUUAAGAGUGAGGCAGGAAAGCCUUGGUGAGGGAAGGAUUACUGCUAGGGUGAGACAGGAAAGCUGAGGAAAACGGUGGCUGUGACAGGCAACAGUUUCACUUAUGCUCGUACAAGACAUGCAGCGCGCCGCUGGUGUAGUGGUAUCAUGCAAGAUUCCCAUUCUUGCGACCCGGGUUCGAUUCCUGGGCGGCGCACCUCAUUCAGUUACAUUUUUAGGUUGCUGUUGUGACAAGACAAGAGUUGCGCCUAGCUGUACCUGUCACGCCUCGUGCACGAAGAAUUCCUGGAGGCCUCGCUGCUCAGCACCACCUUAGGACGCUCCAGUGCUCAGCCGAAGGCCACCACCAGGCAGCUCUCCUCUCCUGCUGAGGCGUCCACGUCAGCAGAGGAACACACGCAUCUCGCUGCAGCUGCUGGUGCGAGUGUGCCGCUCCCGGUGAACACUUCCUGCACGGUGCUGGUUUGCUGACAAGCGCGGCACACUUAUCUCAAAUCCGGAGGAGAAGGAGGAAAAAAGAAAAGUACAGGAACAAAAACAAGAACAAGAAGAAAAGAACAAGAACAAGAACAAGAAUAAAAAGAACAAGAAGAAGAAGAAAUCGAAGCAUACUAAAAAGGGGAUGAAAAAUAAAUACAGGAGGAAAAUAAUAAUCCGCGCUGGACAGAAAGAGGCAAUAUGCAGCAAUCACUCUGGGCGACUCGGUGUGAAGGAAUGAAGGUUGUGUGCCCGCUGCUAAACUUUGUACCAAUACACUGAAAAAAAAAAUGAUAAUAAUAAACAUUUCACUAUUAAACAAACAAGAGAAUCAGCACUGGUGGUGACUGUGUGUGUGUGUGUGUGUGUGUGUGUGUGUGUGUGAAUGAGUGUGCAAGAGGGGUAGAUUUGCUUGGCUAAACAAAAUACACACAAAAAACAAUUUAAAACACAUCCAGGUGGAAAUAUGAAGGUAUAUUUCAUACAGUGACUGCCACGUGUAAGCCUGGUCGCUUCUUGCAGCUUCCCUCACUUUUUAUGUUCUUAUGUCUCUCUCUCUCUCUCUCUCUCUCUCUCUCUCUCUCUCUCUCUCUCUCUCUCUCUCUCUCUCUCUCUCUCUCUCUCUCUCUCUCUCUCUCUCUCUCUCUCUCUCUCUCUCACACCAAAAGGCAAGCGGCUUCUUAGGAAUACACCGUUGAAGAAUUAGUGUCUAAUAAAAAGUUAAUAUACAGUUCUGAUUAAAAAAUAUGACUGAUCAUGGAUGAAGCAAUGCAAAGUUAAUAAACAUACCUGAUAAAAUAAUCUGAAUGAUUUAAGAAGAAAAAAAUGGCAAGCGUGUCUGAUAUAGGACAAUAAAUAUAGUAAUCUAUGUCCUGUGCGCUCAGAAUGUUUGAUUGGUUUUAUGAGGCUCAGAAUCCUCAGCAGCACUACAAAUAACCCCUCAGUCUGUCAUAAUAGAGAGGCGGAAGUGACCCUGAGGCCCCAGUUAACAGAGACCGCCACGGCAUGCAGUGAAUGAAGUGUCUCCCAGCAACCUGUGGCCGAAGAAUCCUGCAAGAGUAGAAUCCCUUGCCAGAUUAAAGCUUUGCCUGUCUUGCGAAUGCCAUUGCUUUCCUCCAGCUUGUGACUUUCGCUAUGAGUGUAAUUUGGUUUCAUGUGAACACAACUCGGCCUUCCUCUCGGGCACCCCGGCAGUACUGGCCACGGGGGAGAGGGUGUCCUUAGUGACGGCACACUUCACCGUGUACUCCAGUAUAAACACAGAAAAUUGCGUUGAUUAAUGAACGUGGAGUUGAAGAAUUACAACACACGAUUGCAAAGGAGAGACAAUAGCUGCAGCCUAAUGGGUCCUUCACUGUUGAGAACAUUAGUCUAUACUAGUAGUACAAGACACCUGACAACACAGUGGAAGGCUUCUCUCUACCUAUUCCGAUACCUUAAAAAGAACAGAAAAAAAUUAGGAAUGCUGCUGCCGCUGAUGAUGAUUAUACCGCAAGAUCCAUCAGUUUACAUCUUUCCUAUUCUAUAUUAAGUUUUCUAUCCGUUUGAACUCGUGAUGUUUGUCAGCCCGCCAGUGCCUCGCGGCUCGUGUGCUGCGUGGCGGUGUUGAGUGCGGCGGCGUGUGGCUCAGGCUUUCAGGCAAGACAAAAGCAGUGUCGUGGUAAUACAAAUCCCUAGAUAAAUAAGGGGAGGAAAGCAAACAAGACACCAGAGAUCAAGAGGAAUGAGCAUAAAAAAGUUUAAUC